RNAcentral lists this long non-coding RNA (695 nucleotides) under Brassica rapa (field mustard). Its description in RNAcentral is "long non-coding RNA (BRAP_LNC005856)". Lineage: Eukaryota; Viridiplantae; Streptophyta; Magnoliopsida; Brassicales; Brassicaceae. The record is from RNAcentral.
GUUAUCAAAUUUUUAUUAUUAAAAUUAUUAAUUGUCAAAUAUAUAUUUUAUUCAUUUUUCAUAAUUCCGUAUAUUUUAUUUAAGGAAAUAAUGAUAAUUAUUAACAGUAAUGUUAAUUAAUAUUAUGGUUAGUUUAAUGAAAAUAUAUAAUAUAUGCUUAAUGAACUAACAUAUUUCUUUAAGGAGUUUAACAAGCAUCUCAUCACUAAAAUGUUGUAAUGUUUCUCUUUUAAUAUAUACUAGAGAUUGAGCCACACACUCGCGAAUGUAUUGUUUUUUUUUUUUUUUACAUUUUUAUACAUUGAUAUUUUUUUUCAUAAUUAAUGUUAUAUAUUUUAGAUGUGACCUAAUAUAACUAAUUGUAUUCAAAAGACUUGGACCAAAUCAGGUAACAUGGUUAUUUUUGGUACAAAUAUCCUAACUCAUCCAAACGCAAAAGGACCCAAUUCAAAACCCACACAUAAAUUUAUAAUAUUCAAGCGGGGCCUAACUUAAAAGAAAACGAUAACCGAAAGAACAAUCUGUAUCCAAAUGGAUAGUCAAUAUUCAUGUCCAACUUAUUUUAAAAAUUAAUAAAAAGACUAUUUUUGUGUUUGGCUAAAUUAAGUGAAAUUGAAACAGUUUUUUAUUUAGUAAAAAGUUAUAUGGAGUGAAAACUUAAGUGACAAUAAAUGUUAUACAUUUUUUUAAUUUUG